Molecule: long non-coding RNA, 1449 nt
Filed under: Neogale vison (American mink)
Lineage: Eukaryota; Metazoa; Chordata; Mammalia; Carnivora; Mustelidae
Description: Neovison vison (American mink) lncRNA (ENSNVIG00000001629.1)
Source: RNAcentral
CUCUGCCUGGACAGACUGCGCCCCACUGUGGCAUGAUGUGGGAGAUAGCAAGGGAAAUGUCAGAGCCAAAUAGGCUCUCUUCUUUGGUAAAGAUUUCUCAGCUUCAAAUUUGACACUUUGAAGAGCUAAAUGUGUUGGAUGCUGGUGGUGGUGAGUUUGGUUUGACACAAAAAAAUAAAAAUGCUCUUCCAGUUUUCAAGGAGCUUAUGGCCUAGAAGGGGAAUGCAUCUCAAGAUCUGAGCUAUGAUAACAGUUUCCAACUCUCGGUCUCCAGGAAGAGAGUAGGGCAGAUAAUUAGGCUUAAGGCUUCAAGUGGAGGCACUUCAAGGAGGCAAGACAGACCAGAGAUUGAAAAGGAAAGCAGUCAGACUUCUGAGGUGAUCUUUGGGAUUGGAAAGAACAAUGUGGUUGUGGGCCCUGGAAGGGCUGGACAUCUGCACCAGUCUGGGCAUGGAGCCUGCGGGGCACUAAGGAUUGGAAGGGACUUCCUGAGAAUGUGCCUGGCAGGUUUGGGCAGUCUGGGUGGAGUGGAGUGGUCAGGGAACAGUGCUGCUGGCAGUAGUCCCCACUUUCCAGGGGCCAAGCCACAUGGCACCUUUUGCAUACUUUGGAUUCAAGUUAGGUGAACUUCAUCUUUGGUUUGCUUAAGCCUCUUGGGUCUUCUGAGAUGGCACUGGAGAAGAGAAGUAGAAGACCAAGCCAGUAUAAGAUUCUUGAGUUAGUUUUAUUUAAUAUUUGGUGAAAUAAGAGACAGGAUCAUAUUUGUACCUUAUGUGUUAUAAACAUUUCAAACCAAUUCCAUUUUAUGGAUUAGGGGUAAGAAUGUGAUUUGCUCCAUGUCACAUGACUAGGAAGUCACAAUGCUGAGAUUUCCAUAGCUGUAACUGGAUCUCUUAGGCAGUCUCAUUUCUUCUUAUCUGUUACUUUUCUUUCUUUGUGAUAUUAUUUUCUGCAUGUCUUUGUACCCUAAGUCAUUACUGCCUCCCUUUUGAUUUUGGAAAGCUUUCUUCUGGCAGGUGACAGAAACCCAAUUUGAACAAGCUUGAGGGGGAAAAUAAUUAAAAAAUAUGUAUAUAAAUACAUACAUAUAUUUAAAAAUAUGUAUGGAAUUUGCUAUAUACGGGUGGAGCCAUAUGUGGGGUACUUCACAUUUUAUGAGGGCAGGAAGGUGGCUAAACCUCAGGAACAUUGUCCCAGUUGUCCCAAUCAUCUGUUGACCAGGCUGGACUAAUACUGUCUAACAUGGUGGCUCCCAUAAUACCAGUGAAGUCUGGGCUGGGGGAGUGGGAGAGGGAAAGUGAGGUGAUAGUUCCCAGAAGGUGUACUCUUUGGUAGACCAAAAAAAAAAAAAAAAGUUACUACCGUUAAUAAUAAUUUUGAAAUUAAUUAUAAUGUAUGCUCAACUUAUUCACAAAAUGGUUCAAUGAAGCUAAUAAUAAAAAUAUUUUC